This 1439-nucleotide ribosomal RNA is filed under the name metagenome. Its description in RNAcentral is "bacterial SSU rRNA". It matches the Rfam family "Bacterial small subunit ribosomal RNA". The record is from RNAcentral.
AGAGUUUGAUCCUGGCUCAGGAUGAACGCUAGCGGCAGGCCUAACACAUGCAAGUCGAGGGGCAGCAGACUACUUCGGUGGUGCUGGCGACCGGCGAACGGGUGAGGAACGCGUUUGUAACCUACCCCUAACUGUGGCAUAGCUCCCGGAAACGGGAAUUAAUUCCACAUAAUAUUUAAACAUGGCAUCAUGUUUUCAUUAAAGCUCCGGCGGUUAGGGAUGGGCAUGCGUGACAUUAGCUUGUUGGUAAGGUAACGGCUUACCAAGGCUACGAUGUCUCGGGGGUCUGAGAGGAUGAUCCCCCACACUGGUACUGAGACACGGACCAGACUCCUACGGGAGGCAGCAGUGAGGAAUAUUGGGCAAUGGACGCAAGUCUGACCCAGCCAUGCCGCGUGCAGGAUGAAUGCCCUAUGGGUUGUAAACUGCUUUUAUACAGGAAGAAACCCUCUGACGUGUUAGAGGUUGACGGUACUGUACGAAUAAGCAUCGGCUAACUCCGUGCCAGCAGCCGCGGUAAUACGGAGGAUGCAAGCGUUAUCCGGAUUUAUCGGGUUUAAAGGGUGCGUAGGCGGGGCAAUUAGUCAGUGGUGAAAUCCUGCGGCUUAACCGUAGAACUGCCAUUGAUACUGUUGCCCUUGAGUAUAGUUGAGGUGGGCGGAAUGUGUAAUGUAGCGGUGAAAUGCAUAGAGAUUACACAGAACACCAAUUGCGAAGGCAGCUCACUAAGCUAUAACUGACGCUGAGGCACGAAAGCGUGGGGAGCGAACAGGAUUAGAUACCCUGGUAGUCCACGCUGUAAACGAUGAUCACUCGUUGUUGGCAAUAUAUCGUCAGCGACUAAGCGAAAGCAUUAAGUGAUCCACCUGGGGAGUACGAUCGCAAGAUUGAAACUCAAAGGAAUUGACGGGGGCCCGCACAAGCGGAGGAACAUGUGGUUUAAUUCGAUGAUACGCGAGGAACCUUACCUGGGCUUAAAUGCAGAACGACGUACCGGGAAACUGGUAUUCCCUUCGGGGCGGACUGCAAGGUGCUGCAUGGCUGUCGUCAGCUCGUGCCGUGAGGUGUCGGGUUAAGUCCUAUAACGAGCGCAACCCCUAUCGUUAGUUGCCAGCGGAUAAUGCCGGGGACUCUAACGAAACUGCCAGUGUAAACUGUGAGGAAGGUGGGGAUGACGUCAAGUCAGCACGGCCCUUAUGUCCAGGGCUACACACGUGUUACAAUGGCCGGAACAGAGGGCAGCUACCUGGUGACAGGAUGCAAAUCUCAAAAUCCGGUCUCAGUUCGGAUCGAAGUCUGCAACUCGACUUCGUGAAGGUGGAUUCGCUAGUAAUCGCGCAUCAGCAACGGCGCGGUGAAUACGUUCCCGGGCCUUGUACACACCGCCCGUCAAGCCAUGGAAGCUGGGGAUACCUGAAGUCUGCAACUCGACUUCGUGA